Molecule: long non-coding RNA, 1092 nt
Organism: Megalopta genalis
Lineage: Eukaryota; Metazoa; Arthropoda; Insecta; Hymenoptera; Halictidae
Source: RefSeq, a predicted model, not a curated record
GUUGUUGUAGAUCCAAAACACAAGCCACAUCCAUUUUAGGUCUUCCAGAGAUGGUAGUGUGCCCAGAAAUGUCGCUGUGUGUACCAACACUGUCUGUGCUGGAGAUACCUUCUAUAAUUGUUGGUUGUAAAGGAGCUAAAACAUAAUGUCUCUGGGAAACUUCAACGGAUAUGAAAGACACACAGUUACCUGUAAAGGUACAGAAAACAACCGAAAUAAUAAUAGUAUAUGUUAUACCCACUGAAUAAUAUACUGCUUUCUAGAGUUUCAACUAUUCACUAUCUGUCAGACGUUCAGUGCAUGUUACAGGACGAACACUUGAGAACAUCAUUGCAGAUAAAGAUUGCCGGGCUUCGAGAGACUUUGGACCACGGUGAAACAACAGAUUGCGGAGGAACAUUAAAGAGAUUAUCAAGUUAUGACAUUGGCGCGCGACAGUCUGGUGUACAAAAAAUUAACUGAACAUCCCAUACCGACUUUGAAUAGAAGAUUCUCAGUAUUUAAUUGAUCGUUCGAUCUAAGAUUAGCGUCGAAAAAUACCUUUUGCAUUGGACAUUGUAGAAACGAUCGUCCAUUUCUUCUAGAACACACAAAUCCAGAGUCGAGGUCGUGCACAAGCACAAGACAACUGGUAUAAAGAAUUUUCCUGUUGGUUCACAGAUGGCGGCGGCGGCGCUCCUCUGCCGGUAUAAAAAUAGAAAUCUCUUAAGAUAGAACGCAUUAUAAUAAAAAUGAAAUGAUUAUUGCGAUUAAUGCGCAUACCAAUGUACAUAGAAACGACUCGCGAGCAAACAAUAUACUUCACCGUUCCCACGAAAACAAGCUCGAAUCGUUUAAUCGAUUCACGGAACUUCGUAUUAUUACAUUUUAUUAGACAAUGACAAUGCCAUUAGUCGUUUAUUAUCUUGUUUACUCUAACAAUCCUCAACUAAUCCGUUCACGUGAUUAGGAGCUGUAAGAAGAACGACUCCACUUAAAAAUUCGAAAUCGACGCCAUUUUGCUAUGAUCUGAUCUCGAUGCUAUAGUAUAGUGUGUCAAAUUUGUAAUCUAAUGUAAACCCUGCAACAAUACAAUAAACAGUAUUAAAAAUA